Aquila chrysaetos chrysaetos is the source of this 4078-nucleotide long non-coding RNA. The record is from Ensembl. NCBI's taxonomy places the organism in Eukaryota, Metazoa, Chordata, Aves, Accipitriformes, Accipitridae.
GCUCCUGUGCCUAGUUCAAGGAAGAGCUAUUCUGACUGCAUUAGAGGGAAGCUGCAUCACACCGUCAAUAUCUCCUCCACUUAUCUGCUGCAGUGGGGAUAGGAGAGAAAAAGUAACAGCAUAUGGGCCCAGAGAAUGUCUGCAGGAAGGGGAUCCCUAAGUGCUUUACAAGAAGACCCACAGAGCCCUUUCACAGAGAUACUGGUCAGAGCUCCCGAGAAGCCAGAAAUCUGUCCUCCCUCCCCACUUUGUCCUGACCUCAGUGAGACCUGCGGGAGUGCCGAAUGCCAUCGGUGUGUGCACAUGGAGUCCCAGCGCCUGUCCCCAGCGGUGGCUGGUGCCAGCUAUUUCAGAUGCUGUUUACCGACCUGUCGCCGUGAUGUGCGUCUCGCCCGGACGCGCCCGCGGCCGUUGCCGUGCCGGGGCCGGUGAAGAGGCGCUCCUCCCGCAGCCCCUUCCCCGGGGCGGCAGGCCCGUGGGUCCCUCUGUUCCUGACUCCAGGACUGGGUGAGGAGGGACGCUGGACGUGCUGAAGGAUUAUGGUAACCAGUUUGGAAACCGUAACUUGCCUGUUUAACCUUAGAAUGUUUCCGUAAACCUGUCCUCAUAACGGGUGCAGCCUUGUGAAAGGGCUUUGUGUGAUGCCCUCCAGUGGCAACAAUGUGUUCUGCUAUUUUAAAUCAAGAGGGAACAGAAGGGAAUUGGAAAAAGUCAUCCUUUUUGCUCACCCUAAAAGGGUUUGAGGGUGACUCCUUCUAAGCCCAAGGGCCUUUGGGCAGCCCUGGCAAAGUCCCCAGUUAGCUGCUGGGUGAGGUGUACCUGGGGGUAUCCCAUCCUUUGGCAGUUGCUGCUGCUGCAAGCUCUGCAGGGAUACGUAGAUCACUGCUGCAAAUCAGGGCAGCCUGUGGGGUUCAGAUGGCCAAUACCAGAGGUUUAGGCACGAGCUUCUGUCCUUCACGGAGGAUGAAUUUUGCUGUGUGCCAGUAAAUGUGCAGAGUGGAAAGGAACAGGAAGAAAAAUGCCAAGAGGUACCAGGAAAAAUGUAUCUUGCAGCACAUAACUCACUGUCAGAGACAAGGACGUUUUUAACUGUUGUCCUUUCACGUGAUCUAGUUCAGCAGUGAGCCUGAAUUCCUGUAGACAGGGCAGAAAUGAGAACUGGUUUUGCCUCAUCUGAGAGACCCUUCAAUGGAAAGAAAUAGCUCUCGGAUCAACAGCUCAACACAGUUCUCCAAGAUCAGUGCUAUACUUAGGUUUCCAGAUAAACUAAAUACGCUUCAUGUUAUUCUGCCUUGGGGUACCAUGCUGGGCUUGUUAAUGCCCUUUAGUGUCAUUAGGAGACUCCCCUUUUACUGUCAAAUACAGCUUCCAGUUCUGUUCCAGGUUUGGCCCUUACAGUCUCACAGGUGUCCUGCACUUCCCCCUGUCUGGUGGGCUUAUACAGAAAGAUGAGGUUGAUGUGAACUUCCAGCUUGGGUGCUGUACUGGUCUGAUCAGUAGACCCUGUAGUGGAAGUGGUGGCCUCCCUGUAAAGGAUUUAUAUAAAGGUAAUUCACAGUGACAGCUCAUUUUGAAAAAUUGAGGUUGUUCAUGCCUUUUCCUUUGCUGUAUUAAGUGACAGGGUUGGGAUUCCUAAGGGAGGAAGUGCUUGGGUUAUUGCUGACAGGUGAAGCUUUUAUUAAACAGAAACAUGCAAACUCAUUUCCCAUAUUGUUUUUAACCUAGUAGCCAAUUAUUGUUUAUUUGGGGGUUUUUUUUUUCAGAUAUUUCUGUUGCUGCCUUAGCUGUCCUGUACCAUGCCUAGCAAUGAUGACUGCGUCAUAUUCUGCUGAGCAGGCUGCUCCAUACUUAGCCAUCAGACCUGCAUUCUCCAACAGAUUCAUCAGGCUGGCAACGUAGUGAUGGAGCUCUUUGGUACCCGUAGAGUCCCACUCCAAGGGUUUCCAGGCACCUUGCGUUUAGCUCAGAAAAUCUGUCCUUGCAGCAGUCCUGUGAAGGGGUUGUGAAACCCUGGGGACUCCCAGGGCAGUUCACCAGUUGAAAAAUAUUUUGGAUUGGGUUCUUGUAUCAUCUGAAGUGAAUGGCUAAUCCUGGCGCCGGGAUACAGGUAUGGUUUAAACACUUGAGGUGAAAGCUGUUGGUGGGGAGCAGUGGGACUGUUCACAACAGAACAUCUGCUUUCAUCAGAAUCGUUGGGGUCACCAGCAGCCUUUCUGCAUUAAAGGCUUUCUUGGGUGGUUCAGACAUCCUCAUACCUCUGCUCUGAUACUCGUGUGUUUUACUCUUUCAGAUGUCUACUCGAGAGUGUGGUGCUCUAUUUUUUGCAGAUAAAGGUAAAACAUGUUCCAGUGGGUGGUGGCAGUUGGACCCUGUAUCAAGGCACACAUUUUUAAGCGAAGAAUGGUGCUUUCUCGCCACUUCGUUCCCUGGCAGAGGAGCUGUACGCUUUAGCUGCUGUUCUCUGGUAUGGCCUUGCCAAUGUCGGCAGGGCUCACGUGGCCACCUCCUGCCCGCUGCAUUGGCAGUGGUUGCGGGCUGAGUCACCUGUUUCUGGUGGACACGAGUUGUGCUCAGUGCAAGAUGUAGCAACUGAAAGUCUCUGGCCUGCCUUACAGGAGGUCUGACAAAGUGACCAUAAUAACCCUUUCUGCCCUGGAAAUCUCUGAAUUCCUGGUAGGCCAAGAAAUGACUCUGUACUUACAUAGCUCAGUGUUGCUAAACCUGUCUUAUUUUAAGGCUUGCAAACCAAAUAGAUACCCAAGAGAAGAUGGUACUAAUCACUGCUGUAAUGACAUAUUCAACUCUGGUUUUUAUGGUUGCUGCAAAGCCUAUUUUGGGGAGACUUUUUUUAAGCUCUUUGGGGAAGAACAGACAAGCUUUUGGCAUGCAAUUCUACAUCAAAUCUCUUCAGUUUUGCUAGGCUGUGUUUAUUUGUAAGACCCUGUAUAUUGUAGAGGCCGCUGCCCGUUCCUGACUAUUCCCUAGAAUGAAAACUUGAAACAAUGAUUUUUGUAAUGAAUGUGCAAUAAAUCUGUGGAAAAGAUUCUCUGUUAAUGACUUUUGAUUGAAUUCAGGUAGCUUUGACAUACACGAAUGAGGCUGUUUAGAGCUAGACAGGCCUGCUUGACAGGCAGUGCCUGAUGGUGUAGUGCCUGGAAAUGAAGCCUAAACAAGGACAUUUCAGUGGAAUGCUGGGCCAGAGUACUUCCAGCCCCCACUGGACACCCAGAGCUUCAAGGGCACAGCAUCCGGGUGAGAAUUCUUCAGUGCUGAGGGGCGAGAACAGAUCUGUAGGUGGGGAAGAUAUACCCAAGUGGAGGUGAGCAUGGCCAAAAAGAACGAGCUAAAAAUGAUGUUUUUGGUUUCUCUAUAGGGACAAUCAAGCACUGCAAAAGGCCUCGGUUGUUUUUUUUGUUUUGUCCCUGGAUGAAUGAAUGAAAAGCAUGGGCAUUCUGUAAAAAUGUCUUUUAAUAUUUGAGACUGUAGUGCAUGCUUGGGUAUUUCAGAAAGCCUCACUGUGUAUGGUAAGCGCUAACAGUUCACACACAAGGGAGGCGUAUUUGAUUAUCUUGUGUCACAGACUUCAUGUAGCAACAAGAAUACUUGAUUGUGAGAUCAUCUUUAUGGUUGGAGUGUUUUCAGCUCUGUCUAGCAGCUGUACAGUGAUUAUGCCUUUUGCUAUUUUUGUUUUUCUUUGAAUUUUUGGCUCUUCAGCAGACAGAAGAGUGGAAUUAAUGAUUGCUCUGGAACAGGGAAGUUCCCUAGGCCUCAAAUGGGUACUGGGGGAACCAGUGAUCCAGCUGCCACUGCUGCUUGGUGACGGUGUCACCUCUGAGAAGGAUGGUAUCUAUUUCUAACUGGAGAAUUCUGGGAUGCUGAUGGAUCUUGUGACCAUAAGGGUUUUCUCCUAAGAUCCUGCCUAAGAGGACAGAAACUGUCGUAAGGGCUCACGCCUGGCGGCUGGUUUGGGUCAGGGUUGCUUUGCUGUCUGUCUUGGCAGAGAGCUGGUUUAUAGGGAGUGUGAUGGAGCAGUUAAUGCUGAAAGAGGGCAUUGCUCAAUGCAGGUUACGUGUAGAUG